ACGGGAGGCAGCAGUGGGGAAUAUUGCACAAUGGAGGAAACUCUGAUGCAGCGACGCCGCGUGAGUGAUGAAGUAUUUCGGUAUGUAAAGCUCUAUCAGUAGGGAAGAUAAUGACGGUACCUAACUAAGAAGCACCGGCUAAAUACGUGCCAGCAGCCGCGGUACUACGUAUGGUGCAAGCGUUAUCCGGAUUUACUGGGUGUAAAGGGAGCGUAGGUGGUUUGGCAAGCCAGAAGUGAAAACCCGGGGCUCAACCCCGUGGAUUGCUUUUGGAACUGUUGAACUAGAGUGCAGGAGGGGUAAGUGGAAUUCCCAGUGUAGCGGUGAAAUGCGUAGAUAUUGGGAAGAACACCGGUGGCGAAGGCGGCUUACUGGACUGUAACUGACACUGAGGCUCGAAAGCGUGGGGAGCAAACAGGAUUAGAUACCCUGGUA
This 435-nucleotide ribosomal RNA is filed under the name uncultured Lachnospiraceae bacterium. Its description in RNAcentral is "partial 16S ribosomal RNA". It matches the Rfam family "Bacterial small subunit ribosomal RNA", at positions 341 to 792 of the family's 1533-position model. Lineage: Bacteria; Bacillati; Bacillota; Clostridia; Lachnospirales; Lachnospiraceae. The record is from RNAcentral.